UCCACACUGGGCUAGAAGGGCUUAAUGGGCUCAUUCAGCCUUGUCCAACUACACCUGCAGUAGGCAUUAAGCCUGAAUAGAGGCCCUGCAAGGGCUGAAGCCAGCUAAGGCUGGGGCUGAUAAGGAAGGAGAAGUGAUGGUUAGUUGGCCCUCAGUGAGAGGAGUCUGGCUGGUGCCGCUGUCUGGAGUUGGUCUGCUGGUAGACAGCCUCCCUGGUGGAAGUGUCCAUCUUCGUCCAUUUGGGCCCAAUCUUCAGAUGUGCUGAGAACCUGCAGCUUCUGUUGCUCUAACUGGAGUUGUUAACGAUCAGGAGUACCUACAGACCCAAGGUACUUGUUCAUUUGCAUACAGAUGGAAUGAAGCAUUCAGGAUUUGGAUACAGGAGGAUUCUAGAACUCCAAGGUUCAGGACCUUGAUGAAUUGGCAAACUGAAGAUCUUAGACAGGUUGAGACUCUAACAGGAAGUGAAGAGACCCUGGAGAAGCUGGGAAUUUCAGCAGCAUGGGCUGUACUUAGUACGCUGAAUUAAACAACU
Long non-coding RNA from Dermochelys coriacea (leatherback sea turtle), 535 nucleotides. RefSeq lists it as uncharacterized. The record is from RefSeq and is a predicted model, not a curated record. Lineage: Eukaryota; Metazoa; Chordata; Testudines; Dermochelyidae. The transcript has 3 exons.